AGUGAACGCUUUCGGUAGGCCUAACACAUGCAAGUCGAACGGCAGCACAAUAAGAGCUUGCUCUUACGGGUGGCGAGUGGCGGACGGGUGAGGAAUACAUCGGAAUCUACUUUUUCGUGGGGGAUAACGUAGGGAAACUUACGCUAAUACCGCAUACGACCUACGGGUGAAAGCAGGGGAUCUUCGGACCUUGCGCGAUUGAAUGAGCCGAUGUCGGAUUAGCUAGUUGGCGGGGUAAAGGCCCACCAAGGCGACGAUCCGUAGCUGGUCUGAGAGGAUGAUCAGCCACACUGGAACUGAGACACGGUCCAGACUCCUACGGGAGGCAGCAGUGGGGAAUAUUGGACAAUGGGCGCAAGCCUGAUCCAGCCAUACCGCGUGGGUGAAGAAGGCCUUCGGGUUGUAAAGCCCUUUUGUUGGGAAAGAAAAGCAGCAGGUUAAUACCCCGCUGUUCUGACGGUACCCAAAGAAUAAGCACCGGCUAACUUCGUG
Molecule: ribosomal RNA, 492 nt
Filed under: uncultured bacterium
Lineage: Bacteria
Description: partial 16S ribosomal RNA
Rfam family: Bacterial small subunit ribosomal RNA
Source: RNAcentral